AUUGAACGCUGGCGGCAGGCCUAACACAUGCAAGUCGAGCGGAUGAAGGGAGCUUGCUCCUGGAUUCAGCGGCGGACGGGUGAGUAAUGCCUAGGAAUCUGCCUGGUAGUGGGGGAUAACGUCCGGAAACGGGCGCUAAUACCGCAUACGUCCUGAGGUAGAAAGUGGGGGAUCUUCGGACCUCACGCUAUCAGAUGAGCCUAGGUCGGAUUAGCUAGUUGGUGGGGUAAAGGCCUACCAAGGCGACGAUCCGUAACUGGUCUGAGAGGAUGAUCAGUCACACUGGAACUGAGACACGGUCCAGACUCCUACGGGAGGCAGCAGUGGGGAAUAUUGGACAAUGGGCGAAAGCCUGAUCCAGCAAUGCCGCGUGUGUGAAGAAGGUCUUCGGAUUGUAAAGCACUGUAAGUUGGGAGGAAGGGCAGUAAGUUAAUACCUGGCUGUUUUGACGUUACCAACAGAAUAAGCACCGGCUAACUUCGUG
Molecule: ribosomal RNA, 484 nt
Filed under: uncultured bacterium
Lineage: Bacteria
Description: partial 16S ribosomal RNA
Rfam family: Bacterial small subunit ribosomal RNA
Source: RNAcentral